Molecule: long non-coding RNA, 1416 nt
Filed under: Nicotiana benthamiana
Lineage: Eukaryota; Viridiplantae; Streptophyta; Magnoliopsida; Solanales; Solanaceae
Description: long non-coding RNA (NBEN_LNC037102)
Source: RNAcentral
UUUUAUUGAUUAAAAACAAGUCGAGUCAUAUAAAACCUGAAUAAUAAAGUAUCACUAAUGGCCAGUGGCCUUAUUACAUUAGGAAAGUAGUAAAAGAUCCUAACUACUUGGUCAAGAAGGACCUUCCCCAGAUUCGGUAUUCUUACCUCCCUAGUAUAGUUGCAUCAACUCUCGUAGUCCUAGCAGCAGAUAGGCUCGAGCCAGAUGUCCACCUGCACUUCCUUUGGGAUUCUGGCAAUCUUCAAUUCUCUUCAACAACAUUUCUUCCAACUCCACUAGACCUCGUUCUAGAUACCCUAGCCGAUUGUUGGCAUUUAAAACGAUAUCUUUCCACUCGUCGAUCAGCUUCUGGUGAGCUUCUUGUAUUUCCCGAUGCUCAUUUUCACACACUCGAAUCCUUUUGCGCUGUUGAUUGUAUUUAGCUUGCGCUUCAGCUUUCUCAUCAAUAAUCCUAUGACCUCGGAUGAACCCAGGAUGACCCAAACCAAUGUGAUUGUCUUCUUACCAAGCUGAAUAAUGCGACACACACCCAGCAUGAUACCUGUCUGCCUCAAUAGUUUCUCUUCCCAAGACGAGUUUGCAAUGCCACAUGUGUUGAGCGUGACAUCGGUGGGGGCUAUCAUCAUCUUGAAAUUCAGCCUUUAAGUGACUCAUUUUAUCUACCCUUGGUAUUAUCUACUUCCUUCCAUCUUGCCUCAUGGCUUGGAGAGGGACAUAAGGAUGAGUUCCCCUCAGACCGAUGAGUAUGAGGAAUUGUGCAUCCCGAGAACGAACAAUGAACUCCCCUGUUGGGAACCACUCGAACAUCCACUGCACUUGAUCUUCCUUUAGAUUUUCAAAUAGCUCUACCCAUCCUCCAGUGUCCUCCGGCUGAGCGAAUAUGUUGGGAAUGAAGUUCAUUCGCUUUGGGUGGUGGAAAGCGAUAUGAUCAUCCCAAUCCAUGCGUAUAAUCUCCUGUCAGUAGUCACCUUUCUGAAGGUGUUCUAUAAGCCAUAGUUGAAGUAAUAGAUUAUAACCUUAGAAGUGUGUGGCCCCUUGUUGACAUUUUCCCAAGGCUCGAUAGAUUUCAACGAUGAUCAUGGGCACUAUGCUGAAAGACUGCCCCUCGAUCCCUUCCAUUAAGGUCUUAGCUACCAUGGCUAGUCUAGUGUAGAUCCUAGCCUUCUUCAUAGUAAAGAUCAUCAUUCCCAGGAAACAUAAUAUGAAGACAAAAACACUUCUGUGAAUAUGCCCUAAGGAGGUUAGGGCGAACUCGUCGUUGUAGGUGAGGUAACACUUUCUAUGGCCAUAUCUCUCGUACAGAAAAUCAAACGGUAUGUAGAAAUCCUUCAGAAAAGUCAAAUCCAUAUUCUUCUUGAGUCCCAUCAUUUAAAGGAAACCCAUACCCUUGCGAUUCUCUGGCAUAAGUAGACCCGG